GAACUCGUACUUGAAUUACAAGGGUGGUAAUUCGUGCGAGUGGUCAUGGUUGAAUUCCAUCUGGGAAUU
This 69-nucleotide transfer RNA is filed under the name Bradypus variegatus (Brown-throated sloth). RNAcentral describes it as "tRNA-Glu". Lineage: Eukaryota; Metazoa; Chordata; Mammalia; Pilosa; Bradypodidae. The record is from RNAcentral.